This 1507-nucleotide ribosomal RNA is filed under the name metagenome. RNAcentral describes it as "bacterial SSU rRNA". It matches the Rfam family "Bacterial small subunit ribosomal RNA". The record is from RNAcentral.
GCUCAGAUUGAACGCCGGCGGCAGGCCUAACACAUGCAAGUCGAACGGUAACAGGAAGCAGCUUGCUGCUUCGCUGACGAGUGGCGGACGGGUGAGUAAUGUCUGGGAAGCUGCCUGAUGGAGGGGGAUAACUACUGGAAACGGUAGCUAAUACCGCAUAAUGUCGCAAGACCAAAGAGGGGGACCUUCGGGCCUCUUGCCAUCGGAUGUGCCCAGAUGGGAUUAGCUUGUUGGUGGGGUAACGGCUCACCAAGGCGACGAUCCCUAGCUGGUCUGAGAGGAUGACCAGCCACACUGGAGCUGAGACACGGUCCAGACUCCUACGGGAGGCAGCAGUGGGGAACAUUGCACAAUGGGCGCAAGCCUGAUGCAGCCAUGCCGCGUGUAUGAAGAAGGCCUUCGGGUUGUAAAGUACUUUCAGCGGGGAGGAAGGGAGUAAAGUUAAUACCUUUGCUCAUUGACGUUACCCGCAGAAGAAGCACCGGCUAACUCCGUGCCAGCAGCCGCGGUAAUACGGAGGGUGCAAGCGUUAAUCGGAAUUACUGGGCGUAAAGCGCACGCAGGCGGUUUGUUAAGUCAGAUGUGAAAUCCCCGGGCUCAACCUGGGAACUGCAUCUGAUACUGGCAAGCUUGAGUCUCGUAGAGGGGGGUAGAAUUCCAGGUGUAGCGGUGAAAUGCGUAGAGAUCUGGAGGAAUACCGGUGGCGAAGGCGGCCCCCUGGACGAAGACUGACGCUCAGGUGCGAAAGCGUGGGGAGCAAACAGGAUUAGAUACCCUGGUAGUCCACGCCGUAAACGAUGUCGACUUGGAGGUUGUGCCCUUGAGGCGUGGCUUCCGGAGCUAACGCGUUAAGUCGACCGCCUGGGGAGUACGGCCGCAAGGUUAAAACUCAAAUGAAUUGACGGGGGCCCGCACAAGCGGUGGAGCAUGUGGUUUAAUUCGAUGCAACGCGAAGAACCUUACCUGUCUUGACAUCCACGGAAGUUUUCAGAGAUGAGAAUGUGCCUUCGGGAACCGUGAGACAGGUGCUGCAUGGCUGUCGUCAGCUCGUGUUGUGAAAUGUUGGGUUAAGUCCCGCAACGAGCGCAACCCUUAUCCUUUGUUGCCAGCGGUCCGGCCGGGAACUCAAAGGAGACUGCCAGUGAUAAGCUGGAGGAAGGUGGGGAUGACGUCAAGUCAUCAUGGCCUUUACGACCAGGGCUACACACGUGCUGCAAUGGCGCAUACAAAGAGAAGCGACCUCGCGAGAGCAAGCGGACCUCAUAAAGUGCGUCGUAGUCCGGAUUGGAGUCUGCAACUCGACUCCAUGAAGUCGGAAUCGCUAGUAAUCGUGGAUCAGAAUGCCACGGUGAAUACGUUCCCGGGCCUUGUACACACCGCCCGUCACACCAUGGGAGUGGGUUGCAAAAGAAGUAGGUAGCUUAACCUUCGGGAGGGCGCUUACCACUUUGUGAUUCAUGACUGGGGUGAAGUCGUAACAAGGUAACCGUAGGGGAACCUGCGGUUG